This is a non-coding RNA of Bacidia gigantensis, 92 nucleotides long. NCBI's taxonomy places the organism in Eukaryota, Fungi, Ascomycota, Lecanoromycetes, Lecanorales, Ramalinaceae. The record is from the annotation of a RefSeq genome assembly.
UCUUCGAUAGGUGGUUAGGAUACCCGCCUCUCACUCACAAGUGCAGAGAAUCAAUCGCGGGUGGCCGGGGUUCAAUUCCCCGUUUCGGAAAA